Molecule: ribosomal RNA, 514 nt
Filed under: Platycerus kitawakii
Lineage: Eukaryota; Metazoa; Arthropoda; Insecta; Coleoptera; Lucanidae
Description: partial 16S ribosomal RNA
Rfam family: Archaeal large subunit ribosomal RNA (bases 127-328)
Source: RNAcentral
CUUUAUUAUUAAUUUAGAUUUAUUGGUCUUUAGUUGAUUUAUUAAUAUGUUGUAUUAAAUUUAAAUUUAUAGGUAAUUAUGAUUAAAUUAGUAUAAUUUUAAUGUUAAGUUAAUUGUAUUUUUAAGAUAAAAUUAAGGAAUUCGGCAAAUUUGUUUUCUGCCUGUUUAUUAAAAACAUGUCUUUUUGUAAUUAUUUGAAGUCGGGCCUGCCCUAUGAUUAUUUAAAUGGCCGCGGUAUUUUGACCGUGCAAAGGUAGCAUAAUAAUUAGUUUCUUAAUUAGAAGCUGGUAUGAAUGGUUUGACAAGAAAAAUUCUGUCUCUAUUUUAUUAUUAGAAUUUAACUUUUGAGUCAAAAGGCUUAAAUGUUUUUAAAAGACGAGAAGACCCUAUAGAAUUUUAUACUAAAUUUAAUAUAAAAUUUUAUGGGUUAUUUUUUUUUAAAUAAGUUUGGUAUUUUGUUGGGGUGAUGGAAAAACUUAAAUAACUUUUUCUAAUUAUGUUCAUUAAUUUAUGA